GCGUCCGAUUAGCUUGUUGGCGGGGUAACGGCCCACCAAGGCUACGAUCGGUAGGGGUUCUGAGAGGAAGGCCCCCCACAAUGGGACUGAGACACGGCCCAUACUCCUACGGGAGGCAGCAGUGAGGAAUAUUGGUCAAUGGGCGGAAGCCUGAACCAGCCAUGCCGCGUGCGGGAAGGAGGCCCUAUGGGCUGUGAACCGCUUUUGCCUGGGGGCAAUAAGGGCGUCGCGCACGUCCGAUGAGAGUACCAGGCGAAUAAGCAUCGGCUAACUCCGUGCCAGCAGCCGCGGUAAUACGGGGGAUGCGAGCGUUAUCCGGAUUCAUUGGGUUUAAAGGGUGCGUAGGCUGUGCGUCAAGUCGGGGGUGAAAUUCCGGUGCUCAACACCGGGGCUGCCCUUGAUACUGUCGCGCUGGAGUGCGGAUGCCGCCGGAGGAAUGAGUGGUGUAGCGGUGAAAUGCUUAGAUAUCACUCAGAACACCGAUUGCGAAGGCAUCUGGCGAAUCCGUAACUGACGCUGAGGCACGAAAGCGUGGGGAUAGAACAGGAUUAGAUACCCUGGUAUUCCACGCCGUAAACGAUGAUGGCUAACCGCCGGCGACACACUGUCGGUGGCCAAGCGAAAGCGAUAACCAUCCACCUGGGGAGUA
Molecule: ribosomal RNA, 649 nt
Filed under: uncultured bacterium
Lineage: Bacteria
Description: bacterial SSU rRNA
Rfam family: Bacterial small subunit ribosomal RNA
Source: RNAcentral